GCUCCAUGCAACUUUGCGAAGAAUCCAGUACUAGAUUAAUGGACUAGGAGAGCUCAACUCUGCAGCUUGUUGUACGAGCCUGUGAGGAUAGCCAUGGUGGAAAGUACAGUGGACUUUCAGAUUCUUAUCUAUUUGUACUAAAGUUCUGUAAAUUUGCAAAACAAUCGUUGCCGUGAAGAUGUUUCGUACUAAGCAUUUCUAGGCGGAGACCAAC
Molecule: long non-coding RNA, 214 nt
Organism: Spinacia oleracea (spinach)
Lineage: Eukaryota; Viridiplantae; Streptophyta; Magnoliopsida; Caryophyllales; Amaranthaceae
Exons: 3
Source: RefSeq, a predicted model, not a curated record